RNAcentral lists this ribosomal RNA (186 nucleotides) under Carabus monilis. RNAcentral describes it as "partial 28S ribosomal RNA". It matches the Rfam family "Eukaryotic large subunit ribosomal RNA", at positions 663 to 817 of the family's 3401-position model. The record is from RNAcentral. Lineage: Eukaryota; Metazoa; Arthropoda; Insecta; Coleoptera; Carabidae.
GGACCAAGGAGUCUAGCAUGUUCGCGAGUCAUUGGGAAUCACAAAACGUAAAGGAGCAAUGAAAGUGAAAGUGUGUUGACGCGGACUUAGGGAGGAUAGGUUUCGUACACUGUACAACCUGCACUCCCGGGGCGUCUCGCACUCAAUGCGAGGUGGGGCGCACCAAGAACGUACACGCUGGGACCC